This 1419-nucleotide ribosomal RNA is filed under the name Allobates ranoides (llanos rocket frog). RNAcentral describes it as "partial 16S ribosomal RNA". It matches the Rfam family "Bacterial large subunit ribosomal RNA", at positions 361 to 2594 of the family's 2925-position model. The record is from RNAcentral. Lineage: Eukaryota; Metazoa; Chordata; Amphibia; Anura; Aromobatidae.
GCUAAACAUCUAGCCCCACUCUUUUUUAUUUAAACCCCUUAUCUCCUCCUCCUACUUCCUCAAAACAUUUUUCCAAUUUAGUAAAGGCGAUUAAAAAAUUUAUGGGAGCUAUAAAUUUAGUACCGCAAGGGAAAGAUGAAAUAAAAAUGAAAAACCAUUAAGCACAACAAAGCAGAGCUUAUCUCUCGUACCUUUUGCAUCAUGAUUUAACUAGUCUAACCAAGCAAAAAGACUUUUAGUUUGACUUCCCGAACCUUAGCGAGCUACCUUAAGACAGCUUUCUGAGCUUAUCCGUCUCUGUUGCAAAAGAGUGGAGAGAUCUUAAGGUAGGGGUGACAGACCAAACGAGCUAAGUGAUAGCUGGUUGCUUAUGAAAAGGAUUUUAGUCCCGCUUAAAGAUUCUUUGUCCCACAAAACCUUUCUUUUAAGUAAUUCAAAUAAGGUACAGCCUAUUUGAAAAAGGAUACAACCUCAACUCUUGGGUUAUUACUAUUUAACAAUGAUAAAGUAGGCCUAAAAGCAGCCAUCUUAAUUAAAAGCGUCAAAGCUUCAUCAUCCCCUUAUUUAAUCCCAUUACUUCUUAUUAACCCCUUAUUAUUAAAAAGCAGCUCUAUAUCUUUAUAGAAAAUUUUAUGUUAAAACUAGUAAUUAGAAGAUCAAACCUUCUCCUCAAUGCAAGUGUACAUCAGUAAGGAUUCUCCACUGAUCUUUAACGCCCCUAAUAAUGAAGUAAUAACCCACCAAGAAAAUUUUACUUUUUUUAACGUUACCCUAACACAAGAGCAUUUAAGGAAAGAUUAAAAGAAAAAGAAGGAACUCGGCAAAUUUUAGCCUCGCCUGUUUACCAAAAACAUCGCCUCUUGAACAUCAAUAAGAGGUCCAGCCUGCCCAGUGACAUUGUUCAACGGCCGCGGUAUCCUAACCGUGCGAAGGUAGCGUAAUCACUUGUUCUUUAAAUGAGGACUAGUAUGAAUGGCUUCACGAAGGCUACACUGUCUCCUUUUUCUAAUCUAUGAAACUAAUCCCCCCGUGAAGAAGCGGGGAUACACCUAUAAGACGAGAAGACCCUAUGGAGCUUUAAACAACUGAAAUAAUUGCUUCUCCCUACCCUAUUUUCUGAAUAUUCUACAAUUUAACUUAAGCAUCCUAUUUCUAGUUUUAGGUUGGGGUGACCACGGAGUACAAUUUAACCUCCAUGCUGAAAGAAAUUACACUCUUAACACAAAGCCACAGCUUUAAGCAUCAAUAAUUUGACUUACAUUGACCCAAUUACUUGAUCAACGAACCAAGUUACCCUAGGGAUAACAGCGCAAUCUAUUUUAAGAGCCCAUAUCGACAAAUAGGUUUACGACCUCGAUGUUGGAUCAGGGUAUCCUAGUGGUGCAGCCGCUACUAACGGUUCGUUGUCAACGAUAAAAC